Molecule: ribosomal RNA, 400 nt
Filed under: uncultured bacterium
Lineage: Bacteria
Description: bacterial SSU rRNA
Rfam family: Bacterial small subunit ribosomal RNA
Source: RNAcentral
GGGUGAGUAAUAUAUCGGAACGUGCCCAGUAGUGGGGGAUAACUGCUCGAAAGAGCAGCUAAUACCGCAUACGACCUGAGGGUGAAAGGGGGGGAUCGCAAGACCUCUCGCUAUUGGAGCGGCCGAUAUCAGAUUAGCUAGUUGGUGGGGUAAAGGCCUACCAAGGCAACGAUCUGUAGUUGGUCUGAGAGGACGACCAGCCACACUGGGACUGAGACACGGCCCAGACUCCUACGGGAGGCAGCAGUGGGGAAUUUUGGACAAUGGGCGCAAGCCUGAUCCAGCAAUGCCGCGUGCAGGAAGAAGGCCUUCGGGUUGUAAACUGCUUUUGUCAGGGAAGAAAUCCUCUAGGUUAAUACCCUUGGGGGGAUGACGGUACCUGAAGAAUAAGCACCGGCUA